GCAAGUCGAACGGUAACAUGGUCAGCUUGCUGACUGAUGACGAGUGGCGGACGGGUGAGUAACGCGUGGGAACAUACCUGUUAGUUGGGGACAACCUGUGGAAACGCAGGCUAAUACCGAAUAUAUUCUAGGGAAUAAAGGUGGCCUCUAUUUAUAAGCUAUCGCUAACAGAUUGGCCUGCGUUGGAUUAGCUGGUUGGUGGGGUAAUGGCUCACCAAGGCGACGAUCCGUAGCUGGUCUGAGAGGAUGAUC
This 252-nucleotide ribosomal RNA is filed under the name uncultured bacterium. RNAcentral's name for it is "partial 16S ribosomal RNA". It matches the Rfam family "Bacterial small subunit ribosomal RNA", at positions 57 to 305 of the family's 1533-position model. The record is from RNAcentral.